Molecule: ribosomal RNA, 429 nt
Filed under: Chloroflexota bacterium
Lineage: Bacteria; Bacillati; Chloroflexota
Description: Chloroflexi bacterium partial 16S ribosomal RNA
Rfam family: Bacterial small subunit ribosomal RNA
Source: RNAcentral
UGGGGAAUAUUGCACAAUGGGCGCAAGCCUGAUGCAGCCAUGCCGCGUGUGUGAAGAAGGCCUUCGGGUUGUAAAGCACUUUCAGCGGGGAGGAAGGCGAUAAGGUUAAUAACCUUGUCGAUUGACGUUACCCGCAGAAGAAGCACCGGCUAACUCCGUGCCAGCAGCCGCGGUAAUACGGAGGGUGCAAGCGUUAAUCGGAAUUACUGGGCGUAAAGCGCACGCAGGCGGUCUGUCAAGUCGGAUGUGAAAUCCCCGGGCUCAACCUGGGAACUGCAUUCGAAACUGGCAGGCUAGAGUCUUGUAGAGGGGGGUAGAAUUCCAGGUGGAGCGGUGAAAUGCGUAGAGAUCUGGAGGAAUACCGGUGGCGAAGGCGGCCCCCUGGACAAAGACUGACGCUCAGGUGCGAAAGCGUGGGGAGCAAACAGG